RNAcentral lists this ribosomal RNA (437 nucleotides) under uncultured bacterium. RNAcentral describes it as "bacterial SSU rRNA". It matches the Rfam family "Bacterial small subunit ribosomal RNA", at positions 8 to 446 of the family's 1533-position model. The record is from RNAcentral.
AGAGUUUGAUCCUGGCUCAGAUUGAACGCUGGCGGCGUGCCUAACACAUGCAAGUCGAGCGGUAACAGGUGUAGCAAUACAUGCUGACGAGCGGCGAACGGGUGAGUAAUGCUUUGGAAUCUUCCCAGUAGUGGGGAAUAACCAGUCGAAAGAUUGGCUAAUACCGCAUACGUCUGUAAAGGGAAAGCGGGGGCUCGUAAGACCUCGCGCUAUUGGAUGAGCCAAAGUCGGAUUAGCUAGUUGGUGGGGUAAUGGCCUACCAAGGCGACAAUCCGUAGCUGGUCUGAGAGGACGACCAGCCACACCGGAACUGAGACACGGUCCGGACUCCUACGGGAGGCAGCAGUGGGGAAUAUGGGACAAUGGGGGGAACCCCGAUCCAGCGACGCCGCGUGUGUGAACAAGGCCGCGGGUUGUAAAGCACUUUUAGUGGGGAA